This 253-nucleotide ribosomal RNA is filed under the name uncultured bacterium. RNAcentral describes it as "partial 16S ribosomal RNA". It matches the Rfam family "Bacterial small subunit ribosomal RNA", at positions 524 to 776 of the family's 1533-position model. The record is from RNAcentral.
UACGUAGGGUCCGAGCGUUGUCCGGAAUUAUUGGGCGUAAAGGGCUCGUAGGCGGUUUGUCGCGUCGGGAGUGAAAACUCAGGGCUCAACCCUGAGCGUGCUUCCGAUACGGGCAGACUAGAGGUAUCCAGGGGAGAACGGAAUUCCUGGUGUAGCGGUGGAAUGCGCAGAUAUCAGGAGGAACACCGGUGGCGAAGGCGGUUCUCUGGGCAUUACCUGACGCUGAGGAGCGAAAGCAUGGGGAGCGAACAGG